CAGAAAGGAAAAAGAAAACCAAAGAGGUUAUUUUUGUUCAAGUAGAGAAAGGAGUUCCUUUUGGCACCUUUUCUAAGGCAUGAACUAUACCCAAAGAACAGCUGAAAUGGGGUGGGAAUGGCACUCCUGGUGUAAACAGUGAGAUUUUUCUAAGGCAACAGCUACUCCUUUAGAUACAGGUUUGUGCUGAACUGGAAAUUUGGGAGGUAGAAACUGAUUAUCAUUCCUGCUGGUAAAUCUGCCAGGCUAAAUAUGAAAAUAAAAGGCCCAAAUUUUCCAGGCAAAGCUUGCCAAUUCUAAAUAAUCCUGCUAAACAUGUCAGCUGGAGACUGAUGCAAGGGCUGCUGCUCAUACAUUAUGUAGAAUUCAGGGCCACAGCACAGAACUCUGAGGUUUUGGGGCUGAGAAAUGUGUCUGGAUCUGCUCCACUGCUCUAUGUUGAUGAGACCCAGGGGAAGCAGAGCAAUUCAUUCUGCAGAGGUUUCUGGGAGCUCCCAGAUGCAGGCUGUUCUGCAUUAUUCUUUCUUCUGUGCCUCUUGUGGUAUUCGUGACAGCCAGUGACAAUGUCAUAGAAGGCUACCACGUUGGUUGAGCAUGACUUCCCCCUGGUGAACCCAUGAUGGCUACUCCUGAUAACCUCCUUUUCUUCCAAUUGUUUGGAGAUGGCAUCCAGCACAACCUGUUCCAUCACCUUUCCAGGGACAGAGGUGAGGCUGAAUAUAAUAAAAUAUUAGUUAAGAUUUAUUUAUUUAUUUUU
Molecule: long non-coding RNA, 757 nt
Filed under: Coturnix japonica (Japanese quail)
Lineage: Eukaryota; Metazoa; Chordata; Aves; Galliformes; Phasianidae
Description: lncRNA (ENSCJPG00005008459.1)
Source: RNAcentral